RNAcentral lists this ribosomal RNA (492 nucleotides) under uncultured bacterium. RNAcentral's name for it is "partial 16S ribosomal RNA". It matches the Rfam family "Bacterial small subunit ribosomal RNA", at positions 29 to 507 of the family's 1533-position model. The record is from RNAcentral.
AGUGAACGCUGGCGGUAGGCCUAACACAUGCAAGUCGAACGGCAGCACAGUAAGAGCUUGCUCUUACGGGUGGCGAGUGGCGGACGGGUGAGGAAUACAUCGGAAUCUACUUUUUCGUGGGGGAUAACGUAGGGAAACUUACGCUAAUACCGCAUACGACCUACGGGUGAAAGCAGGGGAUCUUCGGACCUUGCGCGAUUGAAUGAGCCGAUGUCGGGUUAGCUAGUUGGCGGGGUAAAGGCCCACCAAGGCGACGAUCCGUAGCUGGUCUGAGAGGAUGACGACCACACCGGGAACAGAGCAAGGGCCCAGACACCGACGGGAGGCACAGGAGGGGAAUAUGGGACAAGGGGCGAAAGCCUGACCCAGCAAUACGGGGGGGGGAAAGAAGGCUUUCGGUUGCUAAAGCCUUUUUGUGGGAAAAAAAAAGCAGCAGGUUAAAACCCCCCUGUUCUGACGGGACCAAAAAAAUAAGCCCCGACAAACUUGGUC